RNAcentral lists this ribosomal RNA (226 nucleotides) under uncultured bacterium. RNAcentral describes it as "partial 16S ribosomal RNA". It matches the Rfam family "Bacterial small subunit ribosomal RNA", at positions 538 to 762 of the family's 1533-position model. The record is from RNAcentral.
GCGUUGUUCGGAUUUACUGGGCGUAAAGGGCGCGUAGGCGGCCAGUGCAAGUCAGUUGUGAAAUCUCCGAGCUUAACUCGGAAAGGUCAAUUGAUACUGAUGUGCUAGAGUGCAGAAGGGGCAAUCGGGAUUCUUGGUGUAGCGGUGAAAUGCGUAGAUGUCAAGAGGAACACCUGAGGUGAAGACGGGUUGCUGGGCUGACACUGACGCUGAGGCGCGAAAGCUA